Molecule: long non-coding RNA, 1231 nt
Filed under: Phasianus colchicus (ring-necked pheasant)
Lineage: Eukaryota; Metazoa; Chordata; Aves; Galliformes; Phasianidae
Description: lncRNA (ENSPCLG00000002030.1)
Source: RNAcentral
AAGCUGGAAGUUAAAAGGGAGGAGUACUAGAAACUGAGGUAAGGGUUUUUAGCCACAGACUGUGAAUUGUGUAUUAAACCUCCCCACCACGUGUUCAGAAGGGAAUUGAAUGCAAGGAGCUAGAUGAUGUGCAAGGCCUCUUUCCACCCAGUUCUGGCAGUGCUGCUGGGAGGUACAGGGUGCCUUUCCCUGACGUUGUGUGUGAUUAAUCAUCUUGAAAUGACACAUGGGAGAAAACAUUUCAGAUCUGCAGCUUAUUUUCAGAAAGUUUCUUAUUAAAAUCCCCUGUUCCUUUCUCCAUCCCUUGCACCUUUUCCUCCUUCUCUUCCUCACCUGAGGACUACAGGUGACUUUUGCAUGCAACAUGUUUUCUCUCAUCAGCUCCUUGAAGGCUAAGCCCCUGAUCUUCUGCAAAAAUGCCACUUCUUAUUAAUGUUUUAUGAACUGAGCUUAUUAACCUGACUUUCAUUUUGUGUAAACUGUAAUUAAAAUGUAUGAAGAACUUGACUUGCAUUUGCCCUUCUGGGUUGAUUGUUUGGUCUGCCGAAACAGCAUCCAUCAAGAUCAUAACAAGAUGUGGGGUUUUUUGGUUGUUUUUUUCUUUUUUAAGGGAGACUUGAGUCAUUUCAUGGGGGUCAACUGGAGCCCAGGAAUGCCUUUUCCUUUUGGCAAGACUUCUGCAGCCAUGUGUGUUUACUGUGGACCUCUAGCUGGAAAUGCAGAGAUGCCUGAUCUGAUUAUCUCUGCUUCUGCUUCUUUACGCUGCGCUGCAUGUGGUCUGCUUUUUACAACCCAGGAUUCACACAAUGAAUGUAGUGUCUUUACAUCGCUACGUGAUGCAGAAGGAUCGCUCUUUGCCAGCUGCCAAAUCAAGUGUUGUUGUACAGUCUCUGCCUUCAGCAACAUCCUCAGUGUUCUGGCAGUGGGACCCUUGAAAGGACAGCAAAAAACAGACUUCGUGCUGCCCCUGCACUUCAGACUCUCUGCUCUGCACGAAGCUGCACUGUUCAGAAGAAGCAAGAUUCUUUCCUCACAGCUACGGCACUGCGACACAGCCUGCUUUUUCGCAUUUACCUGGGUGGCUGCUGCUGGUUCUGCUGCUGCUGCAGCCUCGCUGCCUGCACUUCACCCCAGCUUGGCUGAUGCGAGUCUCCCUCGUCUGCGCAUCGCUAAGGAAGAGAAGCGAUGGAGCCGCAAUUUUUCUGUUGGUUCUGGAAGCAAAGGGUUGUGA